Molecule: long non-coding RNA, 685 nt
Organism: Stegostoma tigrinum
Lineage: Eukaryota; Metazoa; Chordata; Chondrichthyes; Orectolobiformes; Stegostomatidae
Exons: 2
Source: RefSeq, a predicted model, not a curated record
AUCAGAUCCUGUCAGCCUGGUCUGAGGUCACUACCCUAGGGGUUUGAGGAGAGAACCCUUGGAAUAGUUAGACAAACAGUUGCUGGAUUUAGUCAUUUUCAUUUGCUUUCUGAACAUAAAUUCAGCUAGGCAUGGGGAAUGGAAGAGGCGACAAGCCCCGGAGGUGAAUCCUGGAGCAGCGGCCGGCGCGGGGUGGAGCGGUCCCGGAGCAGCGGCCGGCGCCGGGGGGAAGCAGUCCCGGAGCAGCGGCUGGCAUGACGAGCCAGUCCCAGGCGGAGGCUGGCGUAGGGGAAGGAGUCCUGGAACUUACCUUGGAGCAGCUGAGAGCAGAUAUGGAGUGGAGCUUGGAGCAGACCACGGAUGGGUGUUGGUCUGGGGUGUGACGCGGGUGGUCAAACAAUGUGUGGGAGCCCCUGCGCUGAGUUGCUGUAAUGUAAAGUUUAUUUGAAUUUUAAUUUUAUCUGAUUGUAAUGUCAGUUCUUUAAGUGUGUCUUAUUUCUAACUUAUUCUUUAAACACAAUUAAGUAAUGUAUCUACUUUUUAUUCUUCUUUCAUGUCUAAAGAUUUGUACCUAGGUACUUAUACUUAAGACAGAAUCAUAAUAUGCAACAUCGUAAUACUUAUCACUGCACUCCUGUAGUUCUGUACUUGAGUACACGUGACAAUACAGAGUUUUCUAUUCUAA